RNAcentral lists this ribosomal RNA (262 nucleotides) under uncultured archaeon. Its description in RNAcentral is "partial 16S ribosomal RNA". It matches the Rfam family "Archaeal small subunit ribosomal RNA", at positions 716 to 982 of the family's 1478-position model. The record is from RNAcentral.
ACGUCUACAUUAGAUACCCCUGUAGUCCCAGCCGUAAACUAUGCGCGUUAGGUGUAUCGGUGACCACGAGUCACCGAGGUGCCGAAGGGAAACCGUGAAACGUGCCGCCUGGGAAGUACGGUCGCAAGGCUGAAACUUAAAGGAAUUGGCGGGGAGCACCACAACGGGUGGAGCCUGCGGUUUAAUUGGACUCAACGCCGGGAAGCUCACCGGAUAGGACAGCAGAAUGAUUGCCGGGCUGAAGACCCUGCAUGACUAGCUG